GACAGAGGGUGCAAACGUUGUUCGGAUUUACUGGGCGUAAAGCGCGUGUAGGCGGCUUUGCAAGUCGGAUGUGAAAUCCCACGGCUCAACCGUGGAAGUGCAUCCGAAACUGCAUCGCUUGAGUCUCGGAGAGGAAGGUGGAAUGCUUGGUGUAGAGGUGAAAUUCGUAGAUAUCAAGCAGAACACCUGCGGCGAAGGCGGCCUUCUGGACGAUGACUGACGCUGAGACGCGAAAGCGUGGGGAGCGAACAGG
Molecule: ribosomal RNA, 253 nt
Filed under: uncultured bacterium
Lineage: Bacteria
Description: partial 16S ribosomal RNA
Rfam family: Bacterial small subunit ribosomal RNA
Source: RNAcentral